CCUACGGGUGGCUGCAGUGAGGAAUAUUGGUCAAUGGGCGCGAGCCUGAACCAGCCACGUAGCGUGAAGGAUGACUGCCCUACGGGUUGUAAACUUCUUUUAUAAAGGAAUAAAGUGAGGCACGUGUGCCUGUUUGUAUGUACUUUAUGAAUAAGGAUCGGCGAACUCCGGGCCAGCAGCCGCGUUAAUACGGAGGUUCCGAGCGUUAUCCGGAUUUAUUGGGUUUAAAGGGAGCGUAGAUGGGUUGUUAAGUCAGUUGUGAAAGUUUGCGGCUCAACCGUAAAAUUGCAAUUGAUACUGGCAGUCUUGAGUACAGUUGAGGGAGGCGGAACUCGUGGUGUAGCGGUGAAAUGCUGAGAUAUCACGAAGAACUCCGAUUGCGAAGGCAGCUUACUAAACUGCCACUGACACUGAGGCUCGAAAGUGUGGGUAGCAAACAGGAUUAGAUACCCCUGUAGUC
This 460-nucleotide ribosomal RNA is filed under the name uncultured bacterium. RNAcentral's name for it is "partial 16S ribosomal RNA". It matches the Rfam family "Bacterial small subunit ribosomal RNA", at positions 338 to 795 of the family's 1533-position model. The record is from RNAcentral.